CAGCCGCCGCGGUAAUACAGAGGGUGCGAGCGUUAAUCGGAUUUACUGGGCGUAAAGCGUGCGUAGGCGGCUUCUUAAGUCGGAUGUGAAAUCCCUGAGCUUAACUUAGGAAUUGCAUUCGAUACUGGGAAGCUAGAGUAUGGGAGAGGAUGGUAGAAUUCCAGGUGUAGCGGUGAAAUGCGUAGAGAUCUGGAGGAAUACCGAUGGCAAAGGCAGCCAUCUGGCCUAAUACUGACGCUGAGGUACGAAAGCAUGGGGAGCAAACAGGAUUAGAUACCCGUGUAGUCCCUGUCUCUUAUAA
RNAcentral lists this ribosomal RNA (301 nucleotides) under uncultured bacterium. RNAcentral's name for it is "partial 16S ribosomal RNA". It matches the Rfam family "Bacterial small subunit ribosomal RNA", at positions 509 to 809 of the family's 1533-position model. The record is from RNAcentral.